Molecule: non-coding RNA, 164 nt
Filed under: bovine gut metagenome
Source: RNAcentral
AACGCGAAGUGGAAUCUGAAGGAAGGUACAGGCAAACCUCUGGCUUGACGAACAGAAAUCGCAUAUACGGCUAUCGCUGGGGAAAAGGCCACCACACAGGUUGAAGUCCAAUAGCUACACGGAACAAGUGGCGGUAGGUGCGGCAGGUAGGUGGAGGGAAAGAA